AUACGUAGGGGGCGAGCGUUGUCCGGAAUGAUUGGGCGUAAGGGCGCGUAGGCGGCGCGGUAAGUCUGGAGUGAAAGUCCUGCUUUCAAGGUGGGAAUUGCUUUGGAUACUGCCGCGCUUGAGUGCAGGAGAGGUUAUCGGAAUUCCCGGUGUAGCGGUGAAAUGCGUAGAGAUCGGGAGGAACACCAGUGGCGAAGGCGGGUAACUGGACUGCAACUGACGCUGAGGCGCGAAAGUGUGGGGAGCAAACAGGAUUAGAUACCCUGGUAGUCCACACUGUAAACGAUGAAUGCUAGGUGUAAGAGGUAUCGGCCCCUUUUGUGCCGGAGUCAACACAAUAAGCAUUCCGCCUGGGGAGUACGGCCGCAAGAUUGAAACUCAAAGGAAUCGACGGGG
This 396-nucleotide ribosomal RNA is filed under the name uncultured bacterium. RNAcentral describes it as "partial 16S ribosomal RNA". It matches the Rfam family "Bacterial small subunit ribosomal RNA", at positions 523 to 918 of the family's 1533-position model. The record is from RNAcentral.